GUCACAUAUUUCAUUCUAAAAAUGGCAAAUAUUCAGAGAAUUACUGUAGCUCCACUCGAUACCAUCGAAGCAAAAGGUGUAAAAGAGGAUAAAAAUCAAAAAGAGCAUAAGCGACUAGGAGCUCCUAGAGGAGAUACAAUAUUUGAUCGAAUGACCAGUGCUUUAGCAAACAUAUUUGUUGCACAGUUUCGAGUUAUGUGUGAACUGGGGAUUUCAUUAGAUCAUAAAUCCAAGAGCUAACCAAAAACUAUAAGCAACAUUAAGAGAAGAAACAGAAAUUCAUAAAUUCAUUAUAAUAAGUUUUACGUAUGUAUAUUAAUUUAAGAUUUGUACCUGUUGAUAAAUAAAUGAUUUCUGUAUGGA
Molecule: long non-coding RNA, 363 nt
Organism: Anthonomus grandis grandis
Lineage: Eukaryota; Metazoa; Arthropoda; Insecta; Coleoptera; Curculionidae
Exons: 2
Source: RefSeq, a predicted model, not a curated record